GACGAACGCUGUCGGCGUGCUUAACACAUGCAAGUCGAACGGAAAGGCCCUGCUUUUGUGGGGUGCUCGAGUGGCGAACGGGUGAGUAACACGUGAGUAACCUGCCCUUGACUUUGGGAUAACUUCAGGAAACUGGGGCUAAUACCGGAUAGGAGCUCCUGCUGCAUGGUGGGGGUUGGAAAGUUUCGGCGGUUGGGGAUGGACUCGCGGCUUAUCAGCUUGUUGGUGGGGUAGUGGCUUACCAAGGCUUUGACGGGUAGCCGGCCUGAGAGGGUGACCGGCCACAUUGGGACUGAGAUACGGCCCAGACUCCUACGGGAGGCAGCAGUGGGGAAUAUUGCACAAUGGGCGGAAGCCUGAUGCAGCAACGCCGCGUGCGGGAUGACGGCCUUCGGGUUGUAAACCGCUUUCGCCUGUGACGAAGCGUGAGUGACGGUAAUGGGUAAAGAAGCACCGGCUAACUACGUGCCAGCAGCCGCGGUGAUACGUAGGGUGCGAGCGUUGUCCGGAUUUAUUGGGCGUAAAGGGCUCGUAGGUGGUUGAUCGCGUCGGAAGUGUAAUCUUGGGGCUUAACCCUGAGCGUGCUUUCGAUACGGGUUGACUUGAGGAAGGUAGGGGAGAAUGGAAUUCCUGGUGGAGCGGUGGAAUGCGCAGAUAUCAGGAGGAACACCAGUGGCGAAGGCGGUUCUCUGGGCCUUUCCUGACGCUGAGGUGCGAAAGCGUGGGGAGCGAACAGGCUUAGAUACCCUGGUAGUCCACGCUGUAAACGGUGGGUACUAGGUGUGGGGUCCAUUCCACGGGUUCCGUGCCGUAGCUAACGCUUUAAGUACCCCGCCUGGGGAGUACGGCCGCAAGGCUAAAACUCAAAGGAAUUGACGGGGCCCCGCACAAGCGGCGGAGCAUGCGGAUUAAUUCGAUGCAACGCGUAGAACCUUACCUGGGUUUGACAUGGAUCGGGAGUGCUCAGAGAUGGGUGUGCCUCUUUUGGGGUCGGUUCACAGGUGGUGCAUGCCUGUCGUCAGCUCGUGUCGUGAGAUGUUGGGUUAAGUCCCGCAACGAGCGCAACCCUUGUUCACUGUUGCCAGCACGUUAUGGUGGGGACUCAGUGGAGACCGCCGGGGUCAACUCGGAGGAAGGUGGGGAUGACGUCAAGUCAUCAUGCCCCUUAUGUCCAGGGCUUCACGCAUGCUACAAUGGCUGGUACAGAGAGUGGCGAGCCUGUGAGGGUGAGCGAAUCUCGGAAAGCCGGUCUCAGUUCGGAUUGGGGUCUGCAACUCGACCUCAUGAAGUCGGAGUCGCUAGUAAUCGCAGAUCAGCAACGCUGCGGUGAAUACGUUCCCGGGGCU
Molecule: ribosomal RNA, 1346 nt
Filed under: uncultured bacterium
Lineage: Bacteria
Description: partial 16S ribosomal RNA
Rfam family: Bacterial small subunit ribosomal RNA
Source: RNAcentral